AGUCUUUUUCUGUAGCUAACAAAAAACAAAACCAUAUUUCCCACUUGCAAAAGCUAAAGAGAAAAAAGCAAACCGCCCAGUCCUUAUCCGUGAUAAUAAAUAGGAAUCAAUCUAAAGCUUCUUUUAACUAAAUUUUUUUAGUAAUAUACGUUUCCACUUUUUUUCUACUUUAAUUUUCUUCUCAUCCUUCCCUUUCCUUUUUCGAUACUCUAUAGUUAUAUAUUCGUUAAAUGUCAGUCAGGAAUUUCAUCAUCGAAUAGAAGAUGUGCUACUCAGGGAUUCCUUAUUGGAUUGACAAAAGAGAACAUAUUGCAAGGGAACAGGUUCCUCUACAGGCAACUGCAGAAUCAUCAACUGGAAGCAGAGGAGUAGUUGCUGGUGCUGGAAUGGCGAAGCAGUGUAUUUGUUCACCAACAAUCCAUCCAGGAUCGUUUAGGUGCAGGCAUCAUCAUGCUGAUUAUAAAUGGGUUGUUCCACUAGGAAAUAAGCAGAAUCACUUUCGUGCUUCUGUCGCCAAGGCUCUAUGACAAUUCUGCUGUACAAAUUCAAAUUGUCAUUUGUAAUUUUUCGUUUUUUAAUAACAUGUGGAUGAUCUUAAAUAUUUACUAUGUCCCAAAUUUAUGUGAAUCUUUUUAGUUACAAAAAGAGAUUUGCAAUUAUUAUUGUUGUGAUAUGUGAAUUUAGUGUCUAACGUACAACCUCUCAAAUAAGAGAGGGGCCUCACAAAAUUUUACAAAAGGAUUUAAGAAGGUAGGGACAAUAACGUUGUGCUCAUCAUUUUGCAUUGGUGAACUACUGAAACAGCCCCCACCACCACUAAUUUCUUUCUGCUCAACUUUCGUAAGCUAAUUCAACUUUAUGUUCCAAAAUUGUUGAGCAGCUGGAAGAAAACAUUAAGAGUUAUAAACAUAUUGAACAAGAAGUAAACAAAAAGAAAAGGAGAAGACAAGUCAAGAUAGUUAUUCUAAACCUCAAUUUCAAUUUCUUCCAAAUUUGGAGAGUUUCUAAUCAAGCAAAGAAUACAUCAAACUUCACGAAAUAAAUUCCUUAAUCCGUGAAAACUAUGAAUCAAUCUAAAGCUUCUUUUUUUAGUUAUACGUUUCCACUUUUCUACUUUUCUUCUCCUUCCUCGCAAAUUACGAUACUAACAUGGUUAUAUAUUGUUGGUGCUGGUGAAUUAUUCUCCACUAUUUCAUCAUAUACAGAUGUGCUACUCAGAAGUUCCUUAUUGGGAUGGUAACCUUGACAAAAGAGCACAUCGAGGACGAUAUCUUUCUCUUGUGCAGGCACAGGUAAGCAUAAGAGGAGCUGAUAGUGCUGAAACGAAGAAGUUUGAAUGUGUUUGUUCCCCCACAAUCCAUCCAGGUUCAUUUAGAUGCAGGCAUCAUCGUGCUGAUUAUAAAUGGGUUGCUCGACUCAGACACAAAGCCUAAUUUCUUAGGCUACUUCUGUCACCAAGGUUCUAUCACAAUUUCGCUGUACAAAUUAAAAUUAUCCUUGUAAUUUUUCGUUUUGGAUUUCAUUGAAUUGAACUUUUUAAAAAAUUAAUCAGACACUCUUUUUUAACUUUUUGUAAUUUAUUUAUUGAAUUGAAGAUAUAUCAGAAAAAUAAGCUCUUAAAAGCCUGU
Molecule: long non-coding RNA, 1628 nt
Organism: Solanum tuberosum (potato)
Lineage: Eukaryota; Viridiplantae; Streptophyta; Magnoliopsida; Solanales; Solanaceae
Exons: 2
Source: RefSeq, a predicted model, not a curated record